Molecule: RNase P RNA, 353 nt
Filed under: Paracoccaceae bacterium
Lineage: Bacteria; Pseudomonadati; Pseudomonadota; Alphaproteobacteria; Rhodobacterales; Paracoccaceae
Description: Rhodobacteraceae bacterium RNase P RNA component class A
Rfam family: Bacterial RNase P class A
About the family: Ribonuclease P (RNase P) is a ubiquitous endoribonuclease, found in archaea, bacteria and eukarya as well as chloroplasts and mitochondria. Its best characterised activity is the generation of mature 5'-ends of tRNAs by cleaving the 5'-leader elements of precursor-tRNAs.
Source: RNAcentral
GGCUCUGGUCGAGCGGUCGCCUUCCUGGACACUUUGUGGAAAGGUAGGAGGAAAGUCCGGACACUAGGGGACAAUCGGACCGAGUAACACUCGGGAUACGGGAGGGUGACUUCCCGUAUACGGAAAGUGCAACAGAAAAAAAACCGCCUUCCUCACUACAUGAGGAAUUGGUAAGGGUGAAAUGGUGGAGUAAAAGCCCACCGCUCUAACUGUAAAGUUUGAGGCAAGGUAAACCCUCCGAUGUGCAAUCUCAAGUAAGCAACCGUUAUGAGUCGUCCCGCCAGGUUGUGGGUAGAGAGCAUCAGAUAGAUGAUCGCAUAGAACAGAAUCCGGCUUACGGACCAGGGCCACUU